This 86-nucleotide transfer RNA is filed under the name Pseudomonadota bacterium. RNAcentral describes it as "Proteobacteria bacterium (freshwater metagenome) tRNA-Tyr". It matches the Rfam family "tRNA". From Rfam's summary of the family: Transfer RNA (tRNA) molecules are approximately 80 nucleotides in length. Their secondary structure includes four short double-helical elements and three loops (D, anti-codon, and T loops). Further hydrogen bonds mediate the characteristic L-shaped molecular structure. tRNAs have two regions of fundamental functional importance: the anti-codon, which is responsible for specific mRNA codon recognition, and the 3' end, to which the tRNAs corresponding amino acid is attached (by aminoacyl-tRNA synthetases). tRNAs cope with the degeneracy of the genetic code in two manners: having more than one tRNA (with a specific anti-codon) for a particular amino acid; and 'wobble' base-pairing, i.e. permitting non-standard base-pairing at the 3rd anti-codon position. The record is from RNAcentral. Lineage: Bacteria; Pseudomonadati; Pseudomonadota.
GGAGGAGUGGCCGAGCGGUCAAUGGCAGCAGACUGUAAAUCUGCCCUCUUACGAGUUCGAAGGUUCAAAUCCUUCCUCCUCCACCA